AAAAGUUUAGUUAAAAAAUAACAUUAGAAUGUCAAUCUAAAAUUAUUGAAAUAUAACUUUUU
This 62-nucleotide transfer RNA is filed under the name Agonita chinensis. Its description in RNAcentral is "tRNA-Asp". Lineage: Eukaryota; Metazoa; Arthropoda; Insecta; Coleoptera; Chrysomelidae. The record is from RNAcentral.